GCGUUGAAAAGCUCGGGGAUGACUUGUGGGUAGCGGUGAAAUUCCAAUCGAGCCCGGAGAUAGCUGGUUCUCCCCGAAAUAGCUUUAGGGCUAGCCUCAAGGUGAGAGAUACGGAGGUAGAGCACUGAAUGUCCUAGGGGGUAUUGCACCUACCGAAGACUAUCAAACUCCGAAUGCCGUCAUCUUAUACUUGGGAGUCAGACUGUGGGUGAUAAGAUUCAUAGUCGAAAGGGCAACAGCCCAGAUCGUCAGCUAAGGUCCCUAAAUGUAAGUUAAGUGGUAAAGGAUGUGGGAUUGCACAGACAACCAGGAUGUUGGCUUAGAAGCAGCCACUCAUUCAAAGAGUGCGUAAUAUCUCACUGGUCGAGUGAUCCUGCGCCGAAGAUUUCCGGGGCUACAACUUACUACCGAAGCUACGGCAUCAGUAAUGAUGUGUAGGGGAGCUUCCCAUACGGGUUGAAGCAUGACCGUAAGGACAUGGGGACAGUAUGGGAGUGAGAAUGUUGGCAUGAGUAGCGAGAUGUGGGUGAGAAUCCCACAGGCCGUAAACCCAAGGUUUCCAGGGGAAGGUUCGUCCGCCCUGGGUUAGUCGGGAACUAAGCGGAGGCCGAAAGGCGGAAGUGAUGGAAAAAAGGUUGAUAUACCUGUACUACCGAUAACCGUUUGAGAGAAGGGAUGACACAGUAGGAUAAGCUAAGCACACUGUUGGUUAUGUGUGCCCAAGCAUUGAGGCAGUCAAAGUAGG
RNAcentral lists this ribosomal RNA (745 nucleotides) under Clostridioides difficile. Its description in RNAcentral is "bacterial LSU rRNA". It matches the Rfam family "Bacterial large subunit ribosomal RNA", at positions 786 to 1536 of the family's 2925-position model. The record is from RNAcentral. Lineage: Bacteria; Bacillati; Bacillota; Clostridia; Peptostreptococcales; Peptostreptococcaceae.